RNAcentral lists this ribosomal RNA (415 nucleotides) under Salmonella enterica. RNAcentral's name for it is "bacterial SSU rRNA". It matches the Rfam family "Bacterial small subunit ribosomal RNA", at positions 1 to 412 of the family's 1533-position model. The record is from RNAcentral. Lineage: Bacteria; Pseudomonadati; Pseudomonadota; Gammaproteobacteria; Enterobacterales; Enterobacteriaceae.
AAAUUGAAGAGUUUGAUCAUGGCUCAGAUUGAACGCUGGCGGCAGGCCUAACACAUGCAAGUCGAACGGUAACAGGAAGCAGCUUGCUGCUUCGCUGACGAGUGGCGGACGGGUGAGUAAUGUCUGGGAAACUGCCUGAUGGAGGGGGAUAACUAUUGGAAACGGUGGCUAAUACCGCAUAACGUCGCAAGACCAAAGAGGGGGACCUUCGGGCCUCUUGCCAUCAGAUGUGCCCAGAUGGGAUUAGCUAGUUGGUGAGGUAACGGCUCACCAAGGCGACGAUCCCUAGCUGGUCUGAGAGGAUGACCAGCCACACUGGAACUGAGACACGGUCCAGACUCCUACGGGAGGCAGCAGUGGGGAAUAUUGCACAAUGGGCGCAAGCCUGAUGCAGCCAUGCCGCGUGUAUGAAGAA